This is a long non-coding RNA of Clupea harengus (Atlantic herring), 2678 nucleotides long. The record is from Ensembl. NCBI's taxonomy places the organism in Eukaryota, Metazoa, Chordata, Actinopteri, Clupeiformes, Clupeidae.
CACACACACACACACUCUCCUCUUGCUCUCCAUCUCUCUCUAAGAACAAGCAGCGUGUGUAUAUGAGCCAUCAGACUCCCUUCUUCUUCCUCCUUCAUCUCUCACCCCCGCCCCCCCACACACACACACAGUCUCUCUCACACACACACACACACACACACACACACACACACACACACACACUCUCCUCUUGCUCUCCAUCUCUCUCUAAGAACAAGCAGCGUGUGUAUAUGAGCCAUCAGACUCCCUUCUUCUUCCUCCUUCAUCUCUCACCCCCGCCCCCCCACACACACACACAGUCUCUCUCACAUACACACACACGCACAGACACACUCUCUCCUCUUGCUCUCCAUCUCUCUCUAAGAACAAGCAGCGUGUGUAUAUGAGCCAUCAGACCCCCUUCUUCUUCCUCCUUCAUCUCACCCCCCCCCACACACACUCUCUCCCACACACUUCUCUCACCCUUCCUCUCUUCCCUCUCUCCUCUUCCCCUUUACCUCCUAUCCCUCCAUCUCUUCACCCCUUCAUUCUCCUCAUCCUCCCGUCCCUCUCGUUUCUCUUUCCUCUGCUCUUCCGUCCUUCCUUCCUUCUCUCUCCAGCUGAGAGCAGACGGGCCAGAUCCUCUCUUCUCUGUUCUCACUGAGUGGACAGACAGACAGACAGACAGACAGACAGACAGGGUACUGAGAGACAGACAGCUCAGAAACCCUGGAGGCUCAGAGACCUAAUUGAAUUGAACUGGCUAAGAGACAGACAGCUCAGAGACAGACAGACAGCUCAGACAAUGAGAACCUGUCCUGUCGAGUGUCCCUCCUCUGUCUCACCCCUCCUGUGGACAGUCCGAGCUCUGUGGACAUUGGACGUCUCCUGAGGAACUCUGUCCCUGUAUGUAGCCGUGCAGUGGACGACGUCUGGAUCGCACCAGAGACUGACUCAUGGCCACUGCACUUGCUGAAGAGUAGCCCACUUCGCAACGUGACCUCUGCAUGACCCGGAAGUACAUGUUUUAAUCCCCCCAAGUGAUGGACACAGACAAUGCCACACUCCAUUAAAAGCCACUCAUACUGCAGACAAGGCAUACUACAAGAUGGACGUGACCCUUGCCGUGUUCUCCUGAGAUAAUACAGCUUCCUCCCAGUGCGAUCGCAUCAGACCCUCGGGUCACCUGGUCCCCAGUCUGCUGUCGUGUGGAGAGUCUCGCUUCACCCUCCUUCUGAGGCCACGUCUGACCAGACUCGACUCUUUCACUUGUCCCUUCAAUGAACACUGUUGUGAAAUCUCUCAGAAGUCUUGUGACCAUGGACAGAACUGAGAAGUAAAACUGCCGUCAGCUCUCUCAGGGACGUCUGUGCCCUGGGUGGAGCUCUCGUGACCACGGGUGGGACUGAGUGAACACUAUGAGUUGUGCACUAUUAUAGUAGUGAACACUGUUAAUCAGUGUUGGGGCUUCAUGUCACAUUGUAUUGGAAGUGUUUCCCUGUUGAGAGCACCAGGUGCAGAGGUUGUUCUAUGUAUGUAAAUUACCUGUAAACAUGUGUACUUUUAUGGGUUUAUCCUCUUGUAUCGACACAGGCAAACACUUGGGCGUCCAACCGCUGUGAGGCAAAUUGUCACAAGUGAGGGGGAUCUCAGACGCUGUCUGCCUGGCUCAACCGGCACAACACUGCCCCCUAGUGUAUGAGCUACGUAGUGCAGUUCGGCAUUGAGUAUUUACUGAUGAGCACAAGCACAGAGUCACCAGGCUUUGUACAUUACAAGCCUUUAGUUACAGUACGUUGAGCAUGGUUAUGUAAACUGUAAUGCAUAAAGUGUGUACAUCUGUGACACGUGGUUUACGGUGUUCUACUAUGUAACUGGUGGUGAAAUCAAAGAAGAGGUGUGAGGAGCAGCAAAAAGUGAUCGUGCGUGCGGUGUGUGUGUGUGUGUGUGUGUGUGUGUGUGUGUGUGUGUGUGUGUGUGUGUGUGUGUGUGUGUGUGUGUGUGUGUGUGUGUGUGUGUGUGUGUGUGUGUGUGUGUGUGUGUGUGUGUGUGUGUGUGUGUGUGUGUGUGUGUGUGUGUGUGUGUGUCUUUCUCUGUCCGCUACCUAAAGCAACAGGAGGAAACCAGAGCUGUAAGGCUUCGGUAAAGCUAUCUGACUUUAAAGGUUUCCAAAAUCUCACAAGAUUUGCCAUACUGCAAGGCUGAGGUAAAAGUUUGUGCUGAUAAUAGCAUCCACACAAUGCAUACCUGUGUUGGGAAACAUAAGGGGGAAAGAUGCAACAGUCAGACAACACAUACCAAAGCUCCCACUGAUACCAUCACACCCAGACACAUGGUAGAAAACAAAGUGUCCUACUUAGCACAAGACAUUUGCAGGUUCAGACAAACGACAAAUCAGGUCCAGAUCAGAGAUGAUCAGACCAGAUCAGAGACCGCCCACUAUCCGGUGUGUGGUCUAAAGAGAUGAUUCUCACAGCACAGACGGAUGAUAGAAGAAUAUUUAACCUCAAGACUGUGAAAUGAUCUAAUAGGAAGCCUCAAUAUCAGGUGUGGGUGUGUGUGUGUGUGCACAGAUGUGUGUGUUUGGUGUGUGCACAGAUGUGUGUGCACGGAUGUGUGUGUGUGUGUGCGUGCACGGAUGUGUGUGGGUGUGUGCGUGCGCACUCUCAUAGCAUUAUAUUAUGGUACAUUGUUUUCAC